AUGACAAAUAUGGUUCGAUGGCUCUUCUCUACUAACCACAAGGAUAUUGGGACUCUCUAUUUCAUCUUCGGUGCCAUUGCAGGAGUGAUGGGCACAUGCUUCUCCGUACUGAUUCGUAUGGAAUUAGCCCGACCCGGCGAUCAAAUUCUUGGUGGGAAUCAUCAACUUUAUAAUGUUUUAAUAACGGCUCACGCUUUUUUAAUGAUCUUUUUUAUGGUUAUGCCGACGAUGAUAGGUGGAUUUGGUAAUUGGUUUGUUCCGAUUCUCAUAGGUGCACCUGACAUGGCAUUUCCAUGA
RNAcentral lists this ribosomal RNA (297 nucleotides) under Triticum aestivum (bread wheat). RNAcentral describes it as "partial small subunit ribosomal RNA". Lineage: Eukaryota; Viridiplantae; Streptophyta; Magnoliopsida; Poales; Poaceae. The record is from RNAcentral.